RNAcentral lists this long non-coding RNA (330 nucleotides) under Setaria viridis. Its description in RNAcentral is "long non-coding RNA (SVIR_LNC006084)". Lineage: Eukaryota; Viridiplantae; Streptophyta; Magnoliopsida; Poales; Poaceae. The record is from RNAcentral.
GUAGGAUCUCCUACGAUGGAGUCUUCGUAUUGUUGUUCGAUCUUUUACAAUUUAUUGGGCGGAAUCCCUUGGGUUAUUACAGUUUCUUUGUGCGGUUUGUGGGGUAUCCUUGCCGGAUCUGCAUGUCUAUUUGAUGCACUGUCAUAUCUUCUAUGCCUUGGCUUGUUAUUUAUAGUCGAUUCAUGAGGUUAUUUACCAUUCAUGUGUAGUUACCGUGUGGAUGUGGACUUGUUGCCAUGAACCUGUCUCUAAUGUCGGUCUGUGUUGUUGACGAGGAGCCUGCCCGGGGCUAAUAUGGUUGUUCUGUGAAAUAAUGAGCCUCUGGAAGGC